RNAcentral lists this ribosomal RNA (162 nucleotides) under Ceriops tagal. Its description in RNAcentral is "5.8S ribosomal RNA". It matches the Rfam family "5.8S ribosomal RNA". From Rfam's summary of the family: 5.8S ribosomal RNA (5.8S rRNA) is a component of the large subunit of the eukaryotic ribosome. It is transcribed by RNA polymerase I as part of the 45S precursor that also contains 18S and 28S rRNA. The record is from RNAcentral. RNAcentral also lists the same sequence under 8 other names. Lineage: Eukaryota; Viridiplantae; Streptophyta; Magnoliopsida; Malpighiales; Rhizophoraceae.
AACGACUCUCGGCAACGGAUAUCUCGGCUCUCGCAUCGAUGAAGAACGUAGCGAAAUGCGAUACUUGGUGUGAAUUGCAGAAUCCCGCGAACCAUCGAGUCUUUGAACGCAAGUUGCGCCCGAAGCCUUCUGGCCGAGGGCACGUCUGCCUGGGUGUCACUC